CCUACGGGAGGCAGCAGUGGGGAAUAUUGCGCAAUGGGCGAAAGCCUGACGCAGCGACGCCGCGUGAGGGAUGAAGGUCUUCGGAUCGUAAACCUCUGUCAGCAGGGAAGCACGGUCACUGUGCUAAUCAGCAGUGAAUUGACGGUACCUGCAAAGGAAGCACCGGCUAACUCCGUGCCAGCAGCCGCGGUCAUACGGAGGGUGCGAGCGUUAAUCGGAAUUACUGGGCGUAAAGCGCUCGUAGGCGGUAUGUCAAGUCAAGGGGGAAAUCCCCGCGCUCAACGUGGGAACUGCCUUUGAAACUGGCAAACUGGAGUGUGUGAGAGGAUAGUGGAAUUCGAGGUGUAGGAGUGAAAUCCGUAGAUAUCUGGAGGAACAUCAGUGGCGAAGGCGACUAUCUGGCACAUAACUGACGCUGAGGAGCGAAAGCGUGGGUAGCAAACAGGAUUAGAUACCCGUGUAGUC
This 465-nucleotide ribosomal RNA is filed under the name uncultured bacterium. RNAcentral describes it as "partial 16S ribosomal RNA". It matches the Rfam family "Bacterial small subunit ribosomal RNA", at positions 338 to 795 of the family's 1533-position model. The record is from RNAcentral.